GAGGAGGUAGUUUAUGAAAAUAUUGGCAUUGGAAGCCAAAGAUUAGGGGUUACCCUACCCCUUG
This 64-nucleotide transfer RNA is filed under the name Steromphala umbilicaris. RNAcentral's name for it is "tRNA-Pro". Lineage: Eukaryota; Metazoa; Mollusca; Gastropoda; Trochida; Trochidae. The record is from RNAcentral.